Molecule: ribosomal RNA, 161 nt
Filed under: uncultured bacterium
Lineage: Bacteria
Description: partial 16S ribosomal RNA
Source: RNAcentral
GCACGUAGUUAGCCGGUGCUUAUUCUUCAGGUACCGUCAUUCCCGGACUGUGUUAGAGCCGGUGUUUCUUCCCUGACAAAAGAGCUUUACAACCCGAAGGCCUUCUUCACUCACGCGGCAUUGCUGGAUCAGGGUUGCCCCCAUUGUCCAAAAUUCCCCAA